This 492-nucleotide ribosomal RNA is filed under the name uncultured bacterium. RNAcentral describes it as "partial 16S ribosomal RNA". It matches the Rfam family "Bacterial small subunit ribosomal RNA", at positions 29 to 507 of the family's 1533-position model. The record is from RNAcentral.
AGUGAACGCUGGCGGUAGGCCUAACACAUGCAAGUCGAGCGACAGCACAGUAAGCGUUUGCUCUUACGGUUGGCGACUGACGGACGGGUGAGACAUACAUAGGCAUCUAAUUUUUCGUGGGGGAUAACGUAGGGCCACUUACGCUAAUACCUCAUACGACCUACCGCUGAAAGCAGGAGAUCAUCACACCUUGCGCGACUGUUUGAGCCGAUGUCGGAUUAGCUAGUUGGCGGGGUAAAGGCACACCAAGGCGACGAUCCGUAGCUGGUCUGAGAGGAUGAUCAGCCACACUGGAACUGAGACACGGUCCAGACUCCUACGGGAGGCAGCAGUAGGGAAUAUUGGGCAAUGGGCGCAAGCCUGAUCGAGCCAUACCGCGUGAGUGAAGAAGGUCUUCGGAUUGUAAAACUCUUUUAUUGGGGAAGAAAAGCAGCGUAUGUAUACCCCGCUGUUCUGACGGUACCUAAACAAUAAGCACCGGCUAACUUCGUG